This is a small nucleolar RNA of Cornus florida, 180 nucleotides long. RefSeq annotates it as small nucleolar RNA Z112. The transcript has a single exon. The record is from RefSeq and is a predicted model, not a curated record. Lineage: Eukaryota; Viridiplantae; Streptophyta; Magnoliopsida; Cornales; Cornaceae.
UACCCUGUGAGGAAGAAAGCCCAUGCAUAGGAAGUGCCGUUUGACACUUUAACAGCAGUGGAUCAAAUUGCCUCUUUUUCCAUCCGCCAUUGCACACAAAUCUUAGGGUUUGUUUGAUUGGCCGGAAAUUGAGUGUGGUGAUCUACUGUGUGUGUGAUUUAAAACGGGUCUCUGAGGGUU